RNAcentral lists this ribosomal RNA (1402 nucleotides) under Staphylococcus haemolyticus. RNAcentral describes it as "bacterial SSU rRNA". It matches the Rfam family "Bacterial small subunit ribosomal RNA". The record is from RNAcentral. Lineage: Bacteria; Bacillati; Bacillota; Bacilli; Caryophanales; Staphylococcaceae.
GGUUAUGGUAGGGCAUCUUAUGGCUAUUCGAGCGAAGGACAAGGAACUUGCUCCUUUGACGUUAGCGGCGGACGGGUGAGUAACACGUGGGUAACCUACCUAUAAGACUGGGAUAACUUCGGGAAACCGGAGCUAAUACCGGAUAAUAUUUCGAACCGCAUGGUUCGAUAGUGAAAGAUGGUUUUGCUAUCACUUAUAGAUGGACCCGCGCCGUAUUAGCUAGUUGGUAAGGUAACGGCUUACCAAGGCGACGAUACGUAGCCGACCUGAGAGGGUGAUCGGCCACACUGGAACUGAGACACCGUCAGACUCCUACGGAGCAGCAGUAAGGAUCUCCGCAUGGGCGAAAGCCUGACGAGCACGCCGCGUGAGUGAUGACGUCUCGAUCGUAAAACUCUGUUAUUAGGAAGAACAUACGUGUAAGUAACUAUGCACGUCUGACGGUACCUAAUCAGAAAGCCACGGCUAACUACGUGCCAGCAGCCGCGGUAAUACGUAGGUGGCAAGCGUUAUCCGGAAUUAUUGGGCGUAAAGCGCGCGUAGGCGGUUUUUUAAGUCUGAUGUGAAAGCCCACGGCUCAACCGUGGAGGGUCAUUGGAAACUGGAAAACUUGAGUGCAGAAGAGGAAAGUGGAAUUCCAUGUGUAGCGGUGAAAUGCGCAGAGAUAUGGAGGAACACCAGUGGCGAAGGCGACUUUCUGGUCUGCACUGACGCUGAUGUGCGAAAGCGUGGGGAUCAAACAGGAUCAGAUACCCUGGUACUCCACACCGUAACGAUGAGUGCGAGUGUUGGGGGUUUCGCCCCUUGUGCGCGCUAACGCUUAAGCCUCCGCCUGCGAGUAGACCGCAGGCUGAAACUCAAACGAAUAAAGCGGCCCACACAAGCGGUGCAGCACGUGAUAUAAUGAGAAGCAAGCGAAGAACUUACCAAAGCUGGCUCCAUGCAACUCUGAAUGACUUCCCCGUCGGGAGACAAAGUACGGUACUGCACGGUUGUCUCGCAGAGCUGAGAUCGAGUUAAUCCCCAACGAGCGCAACCCUUAGCGUGAGACAAUUAGAUGCGCCAUAAGGUGACUGCCGGUGACAAACCGGAGGAAGGUGGGGAUGACGUCAAAUCAUCAUGCCCCUUAUGAUUUGGGCUACACACGUGCUACAAUGGACAAUACAAAGGGCAGCGAAACCGCGAGGUCAAGCAAAUCCCAUAAAGUUGUUCUCAGUUCGGAUUGUAGUCUGCAACUCGACUACAUGAAGCUGGAAUCGCUAGUAAUCGUAGAUCAGCAUGCUACGGUGAAUACGUUCCCGGGUCUUGUACACACCGCCCGUCACACCACGAGAGUUUGUAACACCCGAAGCCGGUGGAGUAACCAUUUGGAGCUAGCCGUCGUAUAGAUGAACCGUAUGUG